AGGCCUUCGUUGUUUAAAGAAGCCUCAUUCACUCACUCUGCUACCCCAGAAGAAGCAGCAGAAAUCAGAGCAGCCAAGUAGGUAGAAGACUCCUCCAGCCUCCUAGGAGCCUUAGCUUCCUUCCUGGCCAGGAACUGGGCUGGAUAAGAUAAUGUGUGCAGAGGGACGCAGAGUCCUCUCCCCUGCAGAUUUCAGCUGGUCUGGUACUGAGAUCUUUGCCCAGGCCAGUCUUUCCUGCCACAUGAUCUUAGACAGGGGGGAAAAAACUAGCCUGGAAAGCAGACUGGAAGGUUUGGUCUCAUCCAAAAAGACAGUGAGGCGCUUCACAUGAUAAGAGUGAAGCACCAGAUGGGGUUUGUGCAGCUGCUUGUUGCUGGGUGGCCGCAUCAGCCAUCCAGAUGACUGGCUGCUCUGGUAGGGUGCUCCUGCGCCAGGCCGCAACUCUGUUUGUUGCUCCGGGGGAAGGUUUGCACUGCCUCAUGGGGCCAGAGCCCCCCAAACUCCAGGAAGGCACCAUGCAAGUAUGCGGUGCCUUCCUGGGGUCCUCCUCCCCUCUCCUCUCUCCCCCCAACCUCAAGUGUGUCAGCUGCAGCUACAAGCAGAUACUCCAGCAUUCAACAAGACUUGCCCUCCAUUGGCUGCCAUUGGUAUUGAAAAAUGUUGUCAGAGUAUCCUGAUCUGAAGAAAGUUGUAGACGGAUUUGCUUCUUGUUGCAACAGUUGUAUUCAGUUUCAUUAAUCAGGCUUGACCACAACAUCUAUAUUAUUAAUUCUCCAAGAUGGGCCAUGCGUGGGGACAUGGUAGAAAGGAGGCAAUUGGCUGACAGAGUUUGCAAGCAGAAGCACCUGAUUGGGCAGCGGGGAUUCCAUACACAGAUAAGGAGGAGGAGCCUGUGAUGGUUAAGGGCUGUAAUUCUUGAGUUUGUCUUGUGGGCCUUCAUGGAAAGCUACAAGUAAAGUGCUUGAAAACAGAAGCGCUGGAUCAAGCCAGUAGUUCAAGUUGGACAGUUGUUUUACUUUCCUUCUUCCCAAAGUAGAUUGGAUAACUUGAACACUGGACUUUUUAAAGACAAAAGCGGGGAGUGGAAAAGACAUGUGAGAGAACUGUUAAGUUAAAUAUUUCUGUUAAUAAAUAUUUGCAUAAAUAUACUUAGCACUUGUUUUACCUUUAAUGCUCUCUGGCAAAUACCAUUGCUGCUUGGACCCUUCAGAAUCCAAAUGUUACACUUGGACUUUCCCCAAGAAUUAUUUCCAAGCUCAGGAGAAACCAGAUCCAUCUGAGCCUUACAAAAACCCUCCACCAGACACAACCUUCGUUGCCAGUGGUUUCCCUCCAGGCUCAAGGAGGCAUGAGGAAUUAAAGCU
Molecule: long non-coding RNA, 1364 nt
Organism: Hemicordylus capensis (graceful crag lizard)
Lineage: Eukaryota; Metazoa; Chordata; Lepidosauria; Squamata; Cordylidae
Exons: 3
Source: RefSeq, a predicted model, not a curated record